CCAAGGAGUAUAGCGUGCGCGCGAGUCAUUGGGUGGAAAACCUAAAGGCGCAAUGAAAGUGUCUGGGGGCGCCUCAGGCGCCCUCGGCGGGAGGAUGGGCGAACCGGCCCCCCGGCCGGAGCCCCGCACUCCCGGGGCGUCUCGUUCUCUUUUAGAGUCGAGACGCACCAGGAGCGCACACGCUGUUACCCGAAAGAUGGUGAACUAUGCCUGGCCAGGACGAAGCCAGGGGAAACCCUGGUGGAGGUCCGAAGCGAUUCUGACGUGCAAAUCGAUCGUCUGAGCUGGGUAUAGGGGCGAAAGACCAAUCGAACGAUCUAGUAGCUGGUUCCCUCUGAAGUUUCCCUCAGGAUAGCUGGCACUCGGAAAGGAACGAGUCUCAUCCGGUAGAGCGAAUGAUUAGAGGUGAUGGGGUCGAAACGACUUCAACCUAUUCUCAAACUCCCAAUAGAUGAGAGCCCCGGCUUGCUUGAAAGUGAAGCCGCGGGAUUCGGAUCGGAGAGGCCAAGUG
RNAcentral lists this ribosomal RNA (511 nucleotides) under Neacoryphus sp. WCW-2003. Its description in RNAcentral is "eukaryotic LSU rRNA". It matches the Rfam family "Eukaryotic large subunit ribosomal RNA", at positions 666 to 1128 of the family's 3401-position model. Lineage: Eukaryota; Metazoa; Arthropoda; Insecta; Hemiptera; Lygaeidae. The record is from RNAcentral.